Molecule: ribosomal RNA, 434 nt
Filed under: uncultured Lachnospiraceae bacterium
Lineage: Bacteria; Bacillati; Bacillota; Clostridia; Lachnospirales; Lachnospiraceae
Description: partial 16S ribosomal RNA
Rfam family: Bacterial small subunit ribosomal RNA
Source: RNAcentral
ACGGAAGGCAGCAGUGGGGAAUAUUGGACAAUGGGGGAAACCCUGAUGCAGCGACGCCGCGUGAGUGAAGAAGUAUUUCGGUAUGUAAAGCUCUAUCAGCAGGAAAGAAAAUGACGGUACCUGCCUAAGAAGCCCCGGCUAACUACGUGCCAGCAGCCGCGGUAAUACGUAGGGGGCAAGCGUUAUCCGGAUUUACUGGGUGUAAAGGGAGCGUAGACGGCUUUGCAAGUCUGAAGUGAAAGCCCGGGGCUCAAACCCGGAACUGCUUUGGAAACUGGAGGGCUGGAGUGCAGGAGAGGUAAGUGGAAUUCCUAGUGUAGCGGUGAAAUGCGUAGAUAUUAGGAGGAACACCAGUGGCGAAGGCGGCUUACUGGACUGUAACUGACGUUGAGGCUCGAAGGCGUGGGGAGCAAACAGGAUUAGAUACCCUGGUA